UACGGAGGGUGCAAGCGUUGUCCGGAUUUAUUGGGCUUAAAGGGCGCGUAGGCGGAUGAUUAAGUCGGUGGUGAAAGCCCACAGCUCAACUGUGGAACUGCCAUUGAUACUGGUUAUCUUGAGUAUAGUUGAGGCAGGCGGAAUUUAAGGUGUAGCGGUGAAAUGCAUAGAUAUCGGAAAGAACACCAAUAGCGAAGGCAGCUUGCUAAACUAUAACUGACGCUGAGGCACGAAAGCGUGGGGAGCGAACAGG
Molecule: unclassified non-coding RNA, 253 nt
Filed under: uncultured Cytophagales bacterium
Lineage: Bacteria; Pseudomonadati; Bacteroidota; Sphingobacteriia; Sphingobacteriales
Description: contains 16S-23S intergenic spacer region
Rfam family: Bacterial small subunit ribosomal RNA
Source: RNAcentral